RNAcentral lists this ribosomal RNA (446 nucleotides) under uncultured bacterium. RNAcentral's name for it is "partial 16S ribosomal RNA". It matches the Rfam family "Bacterial small subunit ribosomal RNA", at positions 329 to 792 of the family's 1533-position model. The record is from RNAcentral.
CGCCAGACUCCUACGGGAGGCAGCAGUGGGGAAUAUUGCACAAUGGGGGAAACCCUGAUGCAGCGACGCCGCGUGAGUGAAGAAGUAUUUCGGUAUGUAAAGCUCUAUCAGCAGGGAAGAAAAUGACGGUACCUGACUAAGAAGCCCCGGCUAACUACGUGCCAGCAGCCGCGGUAAUACGUAGGGGGCAAGCGUUAUCCGGAUUUACUGGGUGUAAAGGGGGCGCAGACGGCAGCGCAAGCCAGGAGUGAAAGCCCGGGGCCCAACCCCGGGACUGCUCUUGGAACUGCGCGGCUGGAGUGCAGGAGGGGCAGGCGGAAUUCCUGGUGUAGCGGUGAAAUGCGUAGAUAUCAGGAGGAACACCGGUGGCGAAGGCGGCCUGCUGGACUGCGACUGACGUUGAGGCCCGAAAGCGUGGGGAGCAAACAGGAUUAGAUACCCCAGUA